UCUUAUUCCUCGAGGAGCACCAAUUACAGUAAUGUAUUCAUUUUUGCUGUAGCCUAACGCAGUAAUGUAACGCUUUACUAAUUAAAUUUCGGUAAUAUUAUACUCGUUCCAAUCUCAGUACCGUGAGUUCCAACGCAUUUUAACGCAACAUUAGUGGUGUUUUUUUUUUGUUUGUUUUUUUAAGAAUUCCUCAACCCCGCGAAACAUUCUUAGGAAAAAAACGCCGUCAGUGUUAUUUCCUGUUGCUGGAUUCGACGGUGGAGAUGACUGCAGAGACAGAUACAUUUGCAAGAUAGAUAUUUUUUUUUAUUUUUUUCAGGAGUUAUGACGCUGCGUUGAAGUGAGGUGCUGUCCCGUCUCUGUCCCCGUGGUCAGAACCAGAGACACGGACAACAUGUCCCAACCGGUGAAGACACGAUGGCAUCUCCAACCCCUCUCUCCAAGGCCAACACCACCUUCUCUCUGGCUUUGCUC
Long non-coding RNA from Etheostoma cragini (Arkansas darter), 474 nucleotides. RefSeq lists it as uncharacterized. The transcript has 2 exons. NCBI's taxonomy places the organism in Eukaryota, Metazoa, Chordata, Actinopteri, Perciformes, Percidae. The record is from RefSeq and is a predicted model, not a curated record.